This 503-nucleotide ribosomal RNA is filed under the name uncultured bacterium. RNAcentral's name for it is "bacterial SSU rRNA". It matches the Rfam family "Bacterial small subunit ribosomal RNA", at positions 27 to 518 of the family's 1533-position model. The record is from RNAcentral.
GAACGAACGCUGGCGGCGCGUCUUAAGCAUGCAAGUCGAACGGCAAGAGGUAGCAAUACCUCCUAGAGUGGCGGACUGGUGAGUAACACGUGGGUGACAUACCCUUCAGAUGGGGAUAGCUAUAGAAAUAGUAGAUAAUACCGAAUACGAGCACAGGGGUUAGAGAUCUGUGAGGAAAGGAGCUAAGGCUCCGCUGAAGGAAUGGCCUGCGGCCCAUUAGCUAGUUGGUGAGGUAAGAGCCCACCAAGGCGAUGAUGGGUAUCCGGCCUUAGAGGGUGAACGGACACAUUGGGACUGAGAUACGGCCCAGACUCCUACGGGAGGCAGCAGCUAAGAAUAUUCCGCAAUGGACGAAAGUCUGACGGAGCGACGCCGCGUGGAUGAAAAGAAGGCCGGAAGGUUGUAAAAUCCUUUUGAAACUGAAGAAUAGGCGUUGUAGGGAAUGACAGCGUGGUGACAGUAGGUUUUGAAUAAGCAACGGCUAAUUACGUGCCAGCAGCUGC